GCCACUACUAAGCCUAUGGGCACCCACAGCACUGACCGAGCCCCACCAAGCAGGUCACCCUCCCUGAUGUGCCAUUCGUUAAUGCCACACGUAAAUUCACACAAACGAGCUUCAGGGCACUCACCGCCAUAGGAAAGGAGCCCCCCCAACACAUCACCACUCCCCCGCGAGAGUACAGGCGAGAGAGGGCUGUAAAAGCUAUUCGAAACUUAAAAAUGGAUAUUUCCCGCAACAUGUUGAAAUUACUGUGUGAUUUGUUCAUUAUAUUGCCAAAC
This is a non-coding RNA of Pelobates cultripes (western spadefoot toad), 275 nucleotides long. The record is from the annotation of a GenBank genome assembly. Lineage: Eukaryota; Metazoa; Chordata; Amphibia; Anura; Pelobatidae.